Molecule: long non-coding RNA, 627 nt
Filed under: Solanum tuberosum (potato)
Lineage: Eukaryota; Viridiplantae; Streptophyta; Magnoliopsida; Solanales; Solanaceae
Description: long non-coding RNA (STUB_LNC000339)
Source: RNAcentral
UCUUUCGGGGAUUUGAAUUUUUCAACCUUAAGACUAAUAGCACAUAUUAACAAGUAAAUAAACAUAAAAAAUGAAUAAGGAAAGAGACUUGGGCCCAAGUAUGGUUUUUCUGUCCGCCUGGACCAGUACUUGGGCCCAUUUUCGUUUUGGGCCUUUGGCCCAAUUUUCACCUGUCCUAAGAACUAACAAGUAAUAAUAAGUAAAAUGGCGAGGGCUUAGGCCCAAUAAUAACAAAAUACAAUUCCGAAUAAAUAAAGGUAGGCUUUGGCCCAAUCUUUUUCAACUCCCAAUUUGCUCCGCUUUUCUUUCAAUUUUGAGACCUGUUCGUCGAUUUUGAUAUCUAGCUGACUCGGAUAAGAGGGGGUAUGGGCCUCCGUGGCCCAAAGGAAAAUGCGAGGAUAGAGUCCAUGAGGACCCGGACAAAUUUCACAUGCAAACACGAAAAUGAGAAUCAAUAAGUAAGAGUUAUGAAUAAUAUAGGAGAAUUUAUUAUAUUCUAAUAUUUGCUACACUACCAUAUACUAAUAUUUAUUACACUACUAUAUUCUAAAAUCUAUUAUACUACCAUAAUCUAAUAUUUAUAUACUACCAAAUUUUGAAUCUAUAGACUACCGUAUUUUAUUAUUU